UUUUUUUUUUUUUUUUGAGUUGCAAAGUGAGAUUUUAUUUAUUUAUUUUCCAUUAUAGAUGGUUUACAGUGUUCUGUCAGUUUUCUACUGCAUAGCCAGGUGACCCCCAGUCACACACACAAAUAUACAUUCUUUUUCUCACAUUAUCAUGUUCCAUCAUAAGUGACUGGAUAUAGUUCCCAGUGCUACACAGCAGGAUCUCAUUGCUUAUCCAUUCCAAAGGCAAUAGUUCUUUAAAGAAGCCAUGGUCCUUCCCAUGACAGCCUUUACACAUUCUAGAACGCUCUACCUCUCUGCCACUGUCUCCUGCAAUCUCCAGCUUCCUCGUUAAUGCCUUGUUGCCCUUCAGAAACAAUUCAGUCACUUCCUGAGAGAAGCCUUCCCUGAGCAUCGCCCCCUCCAAGCUGAGACCCCCCCCCCUUUCAUACCAGCCUGUAAUUCCCAGUCAUUGCAAUUACGGCAAUUUAAUCAAAUAAUUUGAUGCCCCCCUCAUUAUUUGGUAUUUUUGUCCAAUGAGACUAUAUGUUCUAUAAAGCCUGAGACUGUAUCUGACUUACAUCCCUACAUACCUGUCCUGAGCAGCACCUUGCACUGAAUAAAACAGGUGGCCAAUAAAAGGAUAACUAGGGGUGCAAAGGAGAAAAUACAGAUAAGGCAGAUGUAGACAAGGAAAAAAUAUGACUGAAUUCCAUCAAGAACGGUUCUACUGGAAAAGGUACAACCUUCCACUUAUAAAUAAGUACUAGGGAUGCAAUGUACGUGAUAAACAUAAUUAACGCUGCCUUAUGUUAUAUAAGAAGGCUGUUGAGAGAGUAAAUUCUAAGAGUCCUCAUCACAAGAAAAAAAAACAAACUUUUUUUCUAUUUAAUUUUGUAUGAGAUGAUGGGCAUUUACAAAGCUUAUCAUGAUAACCGCUUCCCGAUGUGUGUAAAUCAAAGCAUUAUACUGUACACUUUAAACUUAUAUAGUGCUCUGUGUCAACUACGCCUGAGUACAACUAGAAGGGGAAAAUGUUCUGCUGGAACACAAAAACUGGGGAAGAAAGUUUGAGUUCAAACCUUUCCUUUUAACCUACUUAUAUAUACAGACAGACACAAGCCUGAUUAGUGAUUUGGACCUGAUGUGAACUAUUUAUAUUUCAAACUUAGUCUCCCAAAGGAAGCUCACCAGAUAUGAUGUUUAUUUUUCAGAGCUCCUGAAGAAACUCUCUUUCACCAUGCUCUUCCAGCUCCCAGAGAGAAAAGGAGAAGGUGAUGCAUAAGAAGGAAAACAGAAGAAAGGGCAAAGUGGGAAGAGAACCCACAACACCAUGUCUGUUUGGACUUUGGCUGCAGAAUUUGUGUUUUGUUUUGCUCAUGUACCAAGUACCUGUCAUGCAGCACUGCUCAUACCUUUAUCAUUCUGGGUCCCAUUGUGGAUGAGAGUCAAUAUUUGUGCCCAUUUUGUUUACUGAUGUGUCCCCACCACCCAAACGCUAAUAGAUACUUGAUAAAUAUUUGCUAAAUGAAUGAUUUCAGAUGUGAGAGCUAUAGGAGGAUGAGAACAACAUCUUUCCAACUUUGUAGCCCCAGAGUUUGUGGGAAUCCAAAAAACAGCUACCAAAAUAAAUGAUUUAAGAAUAAAUAUGUAAGUUACAGUAAUUCUGCUCUGCCCCAUGCUUUCCAUUUAGUUAAAUGCAUUCUUUUGUUUGGGGAGUUCACAUGAGCAUGAUUUUACCAAGUUCUAGGGAGGAAUGGUGUCUCUCUUUUUUUUUUUUUAAAUCUUUUUAGGGCCACGCUAGCGGCAUAUGGAGGUUCCCAGGCUAGGGUCUAAUCAGAGCUAUAGCCUCCAGCCUACACCACAGCCACAGCAAUGCCAGAUCCGAGCCACAUCUCAACCUACACCAAAGCUCAUGGCAACGCUGGAUCCUUAAUCCACUGAGCGAGGCCAGGAAUCGAAUCCACAACCUUAUGGUUCCUAGUCGGAUUCGUCUCCGCUGUGCCAUGAAGGGAACUCCCAUAUAUUUUUUUUUCCAAUAGCUGGAUUCUCUGGGUCACCCCCAUGACAGUGCCAAGUAUCCACACUGAGUCUCGAUUCCAUGGUGGAAAAGUACGAGGAAUACCUAUAAUAAAUAAGUAAAUACAUAAAUAAAUAUCCUGCCUUAAAAAUCAAUAAAAAGAUGCCUUGGUUACCAUCAAGUAAACAUUUUAGACCCCAAUGUACAUGCAGGGGCUCUAACAGGUGCCAGGAACACGAAGAGAAAUGGGUCAGAUUUCCACAUACUUCAUGAGCUCUGAGUCUAUGAAUAAGAUUGAUGGGCAAGCAAAAUAAAAAAACAACACAGUGUGAUAAACGAUAUAACAGAGGCACCUGCUAAGCGUCAACGAGGGCACAGAGGAGGCAUGAAAUAAAAGAAACCCGAAGUAAAGUUUUAAUUAGUUGCCAAAAAAAGUCUUUGGUCAUCUCUGCCAAGAAUAAAACAGUGCUACGCUGCUGCCUGUAGUCGUGAUCCCAAAGGAGCCAGGGUUCAUCCUGAAUCUUCCAUGGAUGGAAGCCCAGAGAAGAAAGGGCUCUGAAAUCCUGACAAAAGGCCUAAGGGUCUGUACCUAGCAAUGCUGACCACGACAGUUAAAACCUGAAGCCAGUCCCCUGGAGAGGAAAAGCCUUGCCCUUUAGUGAAGCUGCCAAAAAACCUCCAAAGUUAGCAGUUUGUACUGUGUCUUUCUGUCGACACUGAAAAAUGAGUGGGGACAUCUAAAGGUCCUAUCAGGGCCAGGAGAGCUUUCAAGGCACCCAACACUAACAGAGAUAUUAAAAAUAUACAAACAUAAGGAAACCACACUUGAAAAUCAUAAUGGAAGGGUGUUUUUGGUUUUUUAUCUUAUUUAUAGGGCCACGCCCAUGGCAUAUGGAAGUUCCCAGGGUAGGGAUCACAUCAGAGCUGGAGCCACCGGCCUAUGCCACAGCCACAGAGACACCGGAUCUAAACUGCGUUUGCCACCGCAGGUCAUAGCAACACUGGAUCCUCAACCCACUGAUCGAGGCCAGGAAUGAACCCACAUCCUCAUGGAUAUUAAUUGGGUUCUUAACCUGCUGAGCCACAACAGGAACUCCCAUAAUGAAAAGGUUUAGGUGUGUAUGAAACAAGCUACAUAACAGAGCAUUUGGCAGCCAUUAUAAACAUACAUAAUUUAAAUGACAUGGGAAUUCCUUAUGACACUCUAAAUAAGCAAAGCAAAAUAGCUGGCCAUUAUAUUAAAUUGUUUGUAUAGGCAUCUAUUAUAUAUGAAAUUAUGUAUGGAAAAAGACUUGCACCCCCAAGCAAGUCUAGAAAGCAUGAAUAAAAUGAGGCGUGCAUACAUCUGAAAUAUGCAAGAUGAUGAAGGGUAUAGGGAAAGAAAUUAGUGGAAGAGUUGGAGAGGUUUGGUGGGGGUUUUUUGGGGGGGGGCUUUUUUAAACUUUAAUUUUUUUAAUUUUUAAAAAUGUUUUUCC
Molecule: long non-coding RNA, 3471 nt
Filed under: Sus scrofa (pig)
Lineage: Eukaryota; Metazoa; Chordata; Mammalia; Artiodactyla; Suidae
Description: lncRNA (ENSSSCG00045000766.1)
Source: RNAcentral